Oncorhynchus tshawytscha (Chinook salmon) is the source of this 1463-nucleotide long non-coding RNA. NCBI's taxonomy places the organism in Eukaryota, Metazoa, Chordata, Actinopteri, Salmoniformes, Salmonidae. The record is from Ensembl.
GAGACAGAGAGAGAGAGAGACAGAGAGAGAGAGGUAUGGAUGUGGUAUACAACAAGGAGAGAGAGAGAGGUAUGGAUGUGGUAUACAACAAGGAGAGAGAGAGAGAGAGAGAGAGAGAGGGGUAUGGAUGUGGUAUACAACAAGGAGAGAGAGAGAGAGAGAGAGAGAGAGGUAUGGAUGCAGUAUACAACAAGGAGAGAGAGAGCGAGAGAGAGAGAGAGGAUGGAUGCAGUAUACAACAAGGAGAGAGAGAGAGAGAGAGAGAGGUAUGGAUGUGGUAUACAACAGGGAGAGAGAGAGAGAGAGAGGUAUGGAUGCAGUGUACAACAAGGAGAGAGAGAGAGGGGGGGGUAUUGAUGCAGGGGUACAUCACAAGACAGAAACACUGUCGGGUGUGUGUGUGUGUGUGUGUUGGGGGAUACAUGCAAAUCAUCCAUAUAGAAGUGCAGAGAUGCAUUUGACUCGAGGGGAUGGUUCCUGUAUCUGUGUUGCAAGAAAUAUUUAACAGCAAACAGCACUGUUCUCAUUCCAGAGUCAUUGGGAGAAUGUGUCUCUGCUGCCACACACACACACACACACACACACACAGACACACACACACAGACACACACACACACACACACACACACGAAGGUGGCCUAGGAACAGUUUAAGAGUGGUUUAUGACUUCCUGUCUCUGUCACCGCAACUGCCCACCCUCCUUCUCUCUAGUCUGAACACAUACCUGUUUAGUUUCAUCUACUGUUUCGUUUCCAUUUAGUUUCCAUCUGCUGUUUAGUUUCCGGUUAGUUUCCAUUUAGUGUGACCUACAGGCUGCUGUGUUCUUGGGGACCUUCAAUGCUGCAGACAUCUUUUGGUGUCCUUCCCCAGAUCUGUGCAUCGACACAAUCCUGUCUCUGAGCUCUACAGACAAUUCCUUUGACCUCAUGGCUUGGUUUUUGCUCUGUCAACUGUGGGACCUUUUAUAGACAGGUGUGUGUGCCUUUCCAAAUCAUGUCCAAUCAAUUGAAUUUUCCACAGGUGGACUCCAAUCAAGUUGUAGAAACAUCUCAAGGAUGAUCAAUGGAAACAGGAUGCACCUGAGCUCAAUUUCAAGUCUCAUAUUAAAGGGUCUGAAUACGUAUGAAAAUAAGAAUUUUAUUUUUACAUAAAAAAAAUAUAUUUAUAUUUUUCCACAUUUUAUUACGUUACAGCCUUUUUCUAAAAUGUAUUAAAUGAUGUUUUCCCUCAUCAAUCUGCACACAGUACCCCAUAAUGACAUAGCGAAAAUGUUUGCUAAUAUUAAAAAUAUAACAUUUGCAUUAGUAUUCAGACUCAGUACUUUAUUGAAGCACCUUUGGAAGUGAUUACAGCCUAGAGUAUUCUUGGGUAUGAAGCUACAAGCUUGGCACACCUGUAUUUUGGGAGUUAACUCCAUUCUGCUCUGCAGAUCCUCCCAAGCUCUGUCAGGUUGGAUGGGGAGC